GAUGCGCACCUGGUUGCCAUCUUUGUUGCUGGCAGGCCAAUUUUACUCUCCUGUAAAGCGCGGAAGUAGCUAUGGAGGUCGUCACGUUAUGUUGAAGCAAAAAGGACCGAGUAACUUCUAAAUUGAAAGUCCUUAAAGUCUCGCCUGUAAUACAGAUACUGUUUUCCAGUUAACCUGUAGCGAGAUAAGGUGCUAUUUUCACACAACAGAUUAUAAAAUAGGGAGUUUGGUACACUGGACCAGCCCUUCGCAAGGAGCACAACUAAGGUGUCAAUUAGAAUAGAAACCGAAACUGGGCAUCCUGAGAAAUGGGUCAACCCCUAUGUGAAAAUUUGUGGACACUCCUUCAAUAGAAUCUUCAUGCUUCCUUUGUUGAAGGGGAGCUUUGGCAAUGACUCCUGCACACUUCUCGCCUGUUGCAGGAAAACAAUAAAACAAGAUGGCUGCUGGACCGUUUGGAGAUAUGCGUGGAGAAGAGGAAAACUGGCAUGCUGAGAUAAAAUAACCACCCCUCUCCUCCUCCUGAAAACCCCACCUCCAAGAUCACCCUUAGCCAGCUCAUGGGUUCCGGUCCCUGGGUGGCACCUCCCAUUUUCAAUUCCCUUAAUUCAUUCUCACCUCUGCAACCUUACCCUGUCCCUGCUGAUUCCUCCUAGCAAUGCCUGGUGGGUCUGUUCCGAUGGCCUCACCCCCCUGCAUUUAUAACCCUUUGUUCCAACAGGGCGAGAUGUGUACUCUUGUCCAGCUAGUCCCACGGCUCUCCUACUACCCCUCAGAGGAAUUUUUCCCUCCCCUAACUCCCACCUCUGCCCCUCUCCUCACUCGCAGGGAACCCAUCUCUGCACUAACUGUGGCUGUCUUGCUUGGGCUAGGAGCUGCUGGAGCAGGAACAGGCAUAUCAUCCCUUGCUCUAUCCUCCAAACGCUAUGAUGAACUCAGUACCACUAUUGACUGGGAUGUCCAGAAACUACAGGCAGGAAUAACUGACCUUGCAGACUCCCUACGGUCCCUAAGUAAGGUAGUCCUUCAAAACCGCAGGGGAUUAUAUCUACUUCUCCUUCAACAAGUUGGUCUCUGUGCUGCCCUGAAGGAAGAAUGUUGCUUCUAUGUAGAUAAGACAGGAUUGGUAAAGGAUGCAAUGAAAGAGGUUAGAGAAGGAUUGGAAAGAAGAAAACUAGGGAGGGCCAAAAACAAAAGCUGGUACCAAGACUGGCUCUCUACUUCCCCCUGGGUGAUAACUCUCAAUUUUAGGACCUUUUAUAGGGCUUUUGUUGUUAAUUUCUUUUGGCCCCUGGGCAUUUAAUUGCUUAACUGGCUUCAUUAAACAACAGAUAGAUUCUCUCAUUGCUAAGCCCAUUCAGGUCCAUUAUCAUCAUUGAGCCACUCAGAUGGCGGUCAUGAUUUCACUCAUCACCCCCCCUCCAUCUCCAUCCAGCCUUAGGGGACCCUACCCUUUCAACAAGCCCUCUUCUUGGUGCUAACAUUUCCAGGCAUGUCUGCCACCUGGCUCAUUUCAGGGAGAAUGACUGCUUACAGACAGCAAAGGGACGUUUAUAAUAAAAGGUAAACUAGCCUGGAUCCCUCGGAGGCAUGCUCAUUUGCAGGGAGGUUGAUGUCUAUAACACCUCCCCUCCCAAAAAGACAUCCUGGGAGGUCCAGGGUUGCUCGACCCAACCUAGCUUGGCAAAAGGCCCUUUUGACGCAAUGCCCACCACUCUUCCACAGGAGGAUCGAGCCCCUGCCUCCUCCUUUCUCCUUUGAAUAAAGUAAAAAAGGGGGAGAUGUCAGGGGCCAUGGCAAAAGCAACCUUGGACCUGUAAGAGACUUGGGCUACUUCCAAGAAAGCUGCCAGCAUAACCCAUUAUGAUGAAAAGAAUAGCUGCCUUCAAUCCUUUCCUCCCUGAUACAUAACACCUAGGCUCAUAAAGUAUCUUAUAGAAGGAAAGAUAUAGUUCAUGGUCGGGAUACCUAGCAACCCUUCCCCUUCUAACCCACUAUCUAACAGGGGCAUAUCCACACCCCCUCUGGUUUGGUUAUCAGGCAUAUGGCUUCAAACAACCUCUCCCUGCCUGCCAAGCUCCCCGAUUGGCACCCCUAUAUAAGGUCCCUGUGAAAAAUAAAAAUUUGCGGCUUGAUCAGAAA
Molecule: non-coding RNA, 2142 nt
Organism: Cricetulus griseus (Chinese hamster)
Lineage: Eukaryota; Metazoa; Chordata; Mammalia; Rodentia; Cricetidae
Source: RefSeq, a predicted model, not a curated record